UUGCUGGGUGGAUUAGUGGCGAACGGGUGAGUAACACGUGAGUAACCUGCCCCUGACUCUGGGAUAAGCGUUGGAAACGACGUCUAAUACUGGAUAUGAUCACUGGCCGCAUGGUCUGGUGGUGGAAAGAUUUUUUGGUUGGGGAUGGACUCGCGGCCUAUCAGCUUGUUGGUGAGGUAAUGGCUCACCAAGGCGACGACGGGUAGCCGGCCUGAGAGGGUGACCGGCCACACUGGGACUGAGACACGGCCCAGACUCCUACGGGAGGCAGCAGUGGGGAAUAUUGCACAAUGGGCGAAAGCCUGAUGCAGCAACGCCGCGUGAGGGAUGACGGCCUUCGGGUUGUAAACCUCUUUUAGUAGGGAAGAAGCGAAAGUGACGGUACCUGCAGAAAAAGCACCGGCUAACUACGUGCCAGCAGCCGCGGUAAUACGUAGGGUGCAAGCGUUGUCCGGAAUUAUUGGGCGUAAAGAGCUCGUAGGCGGUUUGUCGCGUCUGCUGUGAAAUCCCGAGGCUCAACCUCGGGCUUGCAGUGGGUACGGGCAGACUAGAGUGCGGUAGGGGAGAUUGGAAUUCCUGGUGUAGCGGUGGAAUGCGCAGAUAUCAGGAGGAACACCGAUGGCGAAGGCAGAUCUCUGGGCCGUAACUGACGCUGAGGAGCGAAAGCAUGGGGAGCGAACAGGAUUAGAUACCCUGGUAGUCCAUGCCGUAAACGUUGGGCGCUAGAUGUAGG
Molecule: ribosomal RNA, 733 nt
Filed under: Actinomycetes bacterium
Lineage: Bacteria; Bacillati; Actinomycetota; Actinomycetes
Description: bacterial SSU rRNA
Rfam family: Bacterial small subunit ribosomal RNA
Source: RNAcentral